Molecule: ribosomal RNA, 1062 nt
Filed under: Triticum aestivum (bread wheat)
Lineage: Eukaryota; Viridiplantae; Streptophyta; Magnoliopsida; Poales; Poaceae
Description: partial small subunit ribosomal RNA
Source: RNAcentral
AUGUUGAUUUUUUCAUUGUCAACAUCAAGAACGUGUCUGGUGUUGAUGCCGCAAGUCUGCCGUGACAUGCAGUUUGAGCCUCAUACGAAGGUAGCAGCUGUAUGCCGCUGUUUCAGUUCAGGAUUUUUAACUGCCACAAGUGGACUAAAUCUCGCCUCUCCAACCAAUGAGACAAUCGUAAGCACGUGCCGGAUCCACAAGGCGGGGAUUGGAGGCCCCCUUGUCGAUUUUGAUGGCAACUUUGUCGGGAUGAACUCCUCUCGUACCAAAAUGGAGAAGACUGCCUACGUGCGAAGGGAGGGAAUUUUCCGAUUCUUGGUGCUUCACGGGAAGGUCAGUGUUAGAGUUAAGGAAGGGUUUGAUGAUGCUUCAAGGGCAAGAAUGAACAGUGAGAUGAAAGCAAUUAGGCCAAGUUUGAGUGCUAAGUCCGUAGAGAAAUUGAGUAAAUCCAGAAAAGGUGCCUUGAGUAAGCAAGUACUUUCCAGAUUAAGCAUGAGCAUUGUGGCGCUGGCCUCAUUCGAUGGUGAUACCCAAUUACACGAAUGCACGGGCACAUGCAUCGAAAGCUCAUGUCCUGAUGCUACGUGUUUCCUGACAUCGAUAAAUUUGAUUCCUUAUACUUGGUGGUUAGGGAAGAUCACUGAAAGUUUGACGAUUAAAGUACGCCUUCCUGAUGAUCAGAUUGUCACUGGGUGGAUAGAGAAUCCUGAGAUAUAUGUUGAUUUUUUUAUCGUCAAAAUCAAGAACGACGAUGUUAUUGAUCCCCUCCAUCUAUGUCAUCUAAGUCUUGAUCGUGCCACGCAGUUUGAGCCUUAUAGGAAGGUAGCAGCUGUAUGGCGGCAUUAUGAUUCAGGAGAAUUAAAGGCCACAAGUGGAGUAGAUCUUGCCUCUGUAUGCGCUCUUACAGAUGAGGAGAUGUUAAGCACAUGCCGUAUCCAUGAGGUGGGGAUUGGAGGUCCCCUUGUUGAUUUUGAUGGCAACUUUGUUGGGAUGAACUGCUCUGGUACCAAACAAAGAAAGACCCCCUACGUACAAAGGCCUUCAAUUCGUGAAUUCAUGUAG